Molecule: ribosomal RNA, 810 nt
Filed under: uncultured bacterium
Lineage: Bacteria
Description: bacterial SSU rRNA
Rfam family: Bacterial small subunit ribosomal RNA
Source: RNAcentral
AGAGUUUGAUCAUGGCUCAGAACGAACGCUGGCGGCGUGGAUAAGACAUGCAAGUCGAACGGGACUUUUCGCUGUAGCAAUACAGUGAAAAGUUUAGUGGCGAACGGGUGCGUAACACGUGGGCAAUCUGCCGAAAAGUGGGGGAUAGCUCGCCGAAAGGCGAAUUAAUACCGCAUGUGGUCAGCCAAGACAUCUUGGUGAAUCCAAAGCCGGGGCAACCUGGCGCUUUUUGAGGAGCCCGCGGCCUAUCAGCUAGUUGGUGAGGUAACGGCUCACCAAGGCUUUGACGGGUAGCUGGUCUGAGAGGACGACCAGUCACACUGGAACUGAGACACGGUCCAGACACCUACGGGUGGCGGCAGUCGAGAAUUUUUCUCAAUGGGGGAAACCCUGAAGGAGCGACGCCGCGUGGAGGAUGAAGGCUUUCGGGUUGUAAACUCCUGUCAUUUGGGAACAAGGUGCGAGUAUUAACUGUACUCGCAUUGAUAGUACCAGAAGGGGAAGAGACGGCUAACUCUGUGCCAGCAGCCGCGGUAAUACAGAGGUCUCAAGCGUUGUUCGGAUUCAUUGGGCGUAAAGGGUGCGUAGGUGGCGCUGUAAGUCGGGUGUGAAAUUUCGGAGCUUAACUCCGAAACUGCAUUCGAUACUGCGGUGCUUGAGGACUGGAGAGGAGACUGGAAUUCAUGGUGUAGCAGUGAAAUGCGUAGAGAUCAUGAGGAAGACCAGUGGCGAAGGCGGGUCUCUGGACAGUUCCUGACACUGAGGCACGAAGGCCAGGGGAGCAAACGGGAUUAGAUACCCUAGUAGUCC